This 276-nucleotide ribosomal RNA is filed under the name Nanos constricticollis. RNAcentral describes it as "partial 28S ribosomal RNA". It matches the Rfam family "Eukaryotic large subunit ribosomal RNA", at positions 678 to 921 of the family's 3401-position model. The record is from RNAcentral. Lineage: Eukaryota; Metazoa; Arthropoda; Insecta; Coleoptera; Scarabaeidae.
GCAUGUGCGCGAGUCAUUGGGACUAAUUAAACCUAAAGGCGCAAUGAAAGUGAAGGUACGCCUCGCGCGGACCUAGGGAGGAUGGGCCCGUCCACGGGCGGGCCCCGCACUCCCGGGGCGUCUCGUUCUCAUCGCGAGAUGAGGCGCACCCAGAGCGUACACGCUGGGACCCGAAAGAUGGUGAACUAUGCCUGGUCAGGACGAAGUCAGGGGAAACCCUGAUGGAGGUCCGUAGCGAUUCUGACGUGCAAAUCGAUCGUCGGAACUGGGUAUAGG